Molecule: long non-coding RNA, 3675 nt
Filed under: Trifolium pratense (red clover)
Lineage: Eukaryota; Viridiplantae; Streptophyta; Magnoliopsida; Fabales; Fabaceae
Description: long non-coding RNA (TPRA_LNC000046)
Source: RNAcentral
UCCUACCAGUAAUUAGAGGCUACAAGCUUGACUGCUACAUGCUGGGAACCAAAAAGUGCCCUGAACAAUUCAUAACCGCUGCAGACAAGAGCAAGCAAAUCAAUCCUGAAUUUCAAGAGUGGCAAGCACAAGAUCAAAAACUGUUGGGAUGGCUAACUCCAUGACAGUUGACAUUGUCACACAACUGAUGCAUUGUGAAUCAUCCAAGCAACUUUGGGAUGAAGUACAAAGCCUUGUUGGUGCUCACAUUAAGUCUCGCAUCAUGUACCUCAAAUCUGAGUUUCACAGCACUCGGAAAAGAGAGUUGAAGAUGGAGGAAUAUCUCAUCAAAAUGAAGAAACUUGCUGACAAACUAAAGCUUGCAGGAGCACUUGUAUCAAACUCAGAUCUAAUGAUCUAAACAUUAAAUGGUUUGGACUCUGAUUACAAUACAGUAGUUGUCAAACUAUCUGAUUAAAUCAAUCUCAGUUGGGUUGAUCUGCAGGCUCAACUCUUAACCUUUGAAAGCAGGCUGGAGCAAUUGAAUAAUCUCACCAAUCUUACAUUGAAUGCAUCAGCUAAUUUUGCAAACAAAACUGAGUACAAAGACAACAAGUUCCACACACGUGGGAGUUGGAGAUGAUCUAACUUCAGAGGCACGACAGGUUUCAGAGGAAAAGGUAGGAUGUCAAAACCAAUCUCAAAACCAAUCUGUCAGGUAUGCGGCAAAGGUGGUCACACUGCUGUGAUUUGUGACUACCGUUUUGAUAAGUCCUACUCAGGUACUAAUCAGUUAGCAGAACGAACACAUAACAGUGCAUUCAUAGCUUCACCUUACAAUGGUCAAGACUAUGAAUGGUACUUCGAUAGCGGUGCGAGCAACCAUGUGACACAUCAAACUGACAAGUUUCAAGAUCUCACUGGGCACAAUGGUAAGAAUUCCUUAAUGGUUGGGAAUGGUGAGAAGUUAAAAAUUGUUGUCUCAGGUUCAACCAAACUUAAAAAUCUUAAUCUAUAUGAUGUCUUAUAUGUGCCUGAAAUUACCAAAAACCUAUUGAGUGUGUCUAAGUUAACUGCUGACAAUAAUAUCAUUGUUAAAUUUGAUGUUGAUUGUUGCUCUGUGAAGGACAAGCUGACAGGGAAGUCUCUUCUAAAGGGGAAACUUAAAGAAGGUUUGUAUCAAGUUUCGAAUGCUAGCUCUCAGUCAAAUAAAGACGCAUGUACCUACAUGUCUGUCAAAGAAAGCUAGCAUAGGAAGCUUGGACACCCCAACAAUAAGCAUUGGAAGCUAGCAUUGUAAUGUGAAGACUUCAUCUAGUGAUCAAUUUCAAUUUUGUGAGGCUUGUCAAUUUGGGAAGCUACACUUGUUACCAUUUAAGUCAUAUUAUUCUCAUGCUCAGGAACCCCUAGAUUUGAUUCAUACUGAUGUAUGGGGUCCUGCACCAAUAAUGUCAAGUUCUGGUUUUAAAUAUUAUGUCCAUUUUAUUGAUGAUUUUAGUAGAUUUACAUGGAUUUAUCCUUUAAAACAAAAGUCUGAAACCAUACAUGCCUUUACUCAAUUCAAAAAUUUGGUGGAAAAUCAAUUUAAUAAAAGGAUGAAAAUUGUUCAAUGCGAUGGUGGAGGUGAAUACAAAGCUGUCCAAAAACUUGCCUUAGAAGCAGGAAUUCAGUUUAGAAUGUCAUGCCCUUAUACUUCUCAACAAAAUGGUAGAGCCGAGAGAAAGCACCGACAUGUUGUUGAACUAGGUUUAACCAUGUUGGCCCAAGCCAAAAUGCCUUUAUGUUAUUGGUGGGAAGCCUUUUCCACAUCUGUUUAUCUAAUAAACAGGCAGCCCUUAUCAAUUAACCAAAAUGCUUGCCCAUAUACCUUGAUAUACAAAAAGGAACCAGAUUAUAGUGUCUUGAAACCCUUUGGAUGUGCUUGUUAUCCAUGUCUGAAACCUUACAACAAGCAUAAACUGCAAUUCCAUACAACUAGAUGUGUAUUUUUGGGAUAUAGCAACUCACACAAAGGAUACAAAUGCAUCAAUUCUCAUGGAAGAAUCUUUGUAUCAAGACAUGUAGUGUUCAAUGAAAAACAUUUUCCCUUUCAUGAUGGUUUUCUGGACACAAGAAAUCCAUUAAAAACUCUAACCCAAAAUGAUCCCAUUUUUUUCCUCUUGCUCCUACAGAUGGCACAAACAACAUUGAUGAUCCAGAAAAUGAAUCAUUUAUUCAUGAAGAAGAAGAUUCAAAUUCCAGCCACUCAAGUGAAGAUCAACACGAAUCUAGUGAUAGACUCAUCAACACUAGUGAGAGCUCUUUACAGUCUGCAAUCAGAAAAGAAGAAAACAAUGAUUCAACGGAAACGAUGGAGACAAGCAGACAAAAUGAACUUGAAAUUGGAGCAAAUAGUCAGGAAAACAACACCAACACACAUUUGAUGCGUACUAGAAUUAAAGAUGGAAUCCACAAGCCAAAACUAUAACACCCAAACCCAUUAUUGUAGUGAUUCUACGUUUAUUAAAUCUUUUUCAAAAUACGCAACAGAAAAAUUGAAAGUUAUUUAUAAACAUUGGUUCUAGACACAUCUAUAUGCAUGCAACAUUACCAUUCACCACCAAAUAUUGGAUAACUUAAUCCAAUCUUCACCACCAAAUACUGACUAUGAAUGCAUGAAAUGCACAUCACUUGUAUCAAUCAUUUUAUACAAUUAAUAUUAAUUCAUUAUUAAUAUUCACCACCAAUUGUUCAUCACUAAUUAUACACACCAUUUCAAUUCAUAUAGCAAGAAGAAACAAAUUUGAGGAUCUAAACUAACUAUUUUAUUCUACUACAAUGAGUUACAACACAAGACAUAUAGACAAUUUAUUCAAAAUCAACAUAGGAAUUAGGCUAUUCCUAGUUCGCAUAAUCUCCAUAUUAUCAACUCAUAGAAGUUAUUCAACUAAGACACUCUAUAAAGUAAGGUACAUAAGAAAAAUUAAUAUAUAGUUGAGAGCAAAUAGACUCUCGAUACCUCAUACCAAUUCCAACAUCUCAAAAAGAAAUAGUAAAUUUAUAAAACACGUACUCUGCAAAAUGAAAAGUCUUUAUACACUUACAUCUAUUCUUUGAACAUGUAAUUUGACAGGUAACACACAUGUUUCAUUUUAACACCGAGAGGAAAUCCAUGACAACACAGAGUCACACUAGGAAAGGUUCCACUAUAAUCAAACACAUAAUGACAAAAAUACUGCUAUUGCAAUUUGAACAUGGUUAGCACAAAUUUAUGAACAAUAAAAUCUCAUACUUUUCAAGUUACUCAAAUAGCAACAACAGUUCAUAAAGUAUAUAUUUUUGUCAUCACAAAUUCAUUUCUAGACAUGAAUAAACAUGUAUAAUCACAUACUUUAACAUAAAAUUUCAAGAUAAACAAAUUCCCAAAUCCCAUAAACUCUACCAAAAUGAAAAAGAGACGAGGAGAGUUUGGGAUAGAGAAGAUUACUUCUCUCCUUUCCAUUAAUCAUCUCAAAGAUUAUAAAUUACCCUCAUACCUUUAGAUGAUGGAAAUCUAGCUUUGAAGUUGAAUUUGACUUUUCAAGUUCCUUCCCUUCUCUCAAGUUCUUCUUUCUUCUUAUUUCUUUACCGACUCUGUUUUCUCCUUCUCUCUCUACUUUUCCAAUAUUUUGAUAAGAAUGACUUUCUCUUUCUAUUUUUAGUUUAUAUAUCUAGAGU